CAGUAGCCGCGGGAAUACAGAGGGUGCGAGCGUUAAUCGGAUUUACUGGGCGUAAAGCGUGCGUAGGCGGCUUCUUAAGUCGGAUGUGAAAUCCCUGAGCUUAACUUGGGAAUUGCAUUCGAUACUGGUUAGCUAGAGUGUGGGAGAGGAUGGUAGAAUUCCAGGUGUAGCGGUGAAAUGCGUAGAGAUCUGGAGGAAUACCGAUGGCGAAGGCAGCCAUCUGGCCUAACACUGACGCUGAGGUACGAAAGCAUGGGGAGCAAACAGGAUUAGAUACCCCCGUAGUCCCUGUCUCUUAUAC
This 301-nucleotide ribosomal RNA is filed under the name uncultured bacterium. Its description in RNAcentral is "partial 16S ribosomal RNA". It matches the Rfam family "Bacterial small subunit ribosomal RNA", at positions 509 to 807 of the family's 1533-position model. The record is from RNAcentral.